UGUUAAAAUUUUCAUCCAUUUAUACAAUUAAAAUAUGGCGUAGUUAACAGAAUAACAGGACAGUAACACAUGACUUGCCAUGUGUACCUCAUGCUAAUGCAUAGGAACUAGUUUUUAAUAGUAAAAAUGAAUGAAAUAUUUAACA
Gossypium raimondii (Peruvian cotton) is the source of this 145-nucleotide non-coding RNA. The record is from Rfam. Lineage: Eukaryota; Viridiplantae; Streptophyta; Magnoliopsida; Malvales; Malvaceae.